UACGUAGGGGGCAAGCGUUAUCCGGAUUUACUGGGUGUAAAGGGAGCGCAGACGGCAGUGCAAGUCUGGAGUGAAAGCCCGGGGCCCAACCCCGGAACCGCUCUGGAAACUGUGCGGCUAGAGUACUGGAGGGGCAGGCGGAAUUCCUAGUGUAGCGGUGAAAUGCGUAGAUAUUAGGAGGAACACCAGUGGCGAAGGCGGCCUGCUGGACAGUAACUGACGUUGAGGCUCGAAAGCGUGGGGAGCAAACAGG
This 253-nucleotide ribosomal RNA is filed under the name uncultured bacterium. Its description in RNAcentral is "partial 16S ribosomal RNA". It matches the Rfam family "Bacterial small subunit ribosomal RNA", at positions 524 to 776 of the family's 1533-position model. The record is from RNAcentral.